This 5682-nucleotide unclassified non-coding RNA is filed under the name Cimex lectularius (bed bug). RNAcentral's name for it is "uncharacterized LOC106670617, transcript variant X1". The record is from RNAcentral. Lineage: Eukaryota; Metazoa; Arthropoda; Insecta; Hemiptera; Cimicidae.
GGGACGUUGCCGGCCAGUGGACGGCUAGGUGUUCCACUCUUAGCAGAAUUUCGCGCCAGAGGAACAUUCAAAUUCGACAUUAAAAACCGUGCCGGUGCUGCAAAGAGCCAACUUGAUUAGAGGAAAGGCGGAAAAAGCGAGAAAUCUCAUAGGAAGAAUUAAUAGUAACAAAUGUGGCUAAAAAUAGGAAUAAGGUCAAAGAGUCGAGAGCCGAGGUGUGCAGUGCGGGAGUGUUCUUUGACAAGCUUGUUUUUCAAAAUACGCUUUUAAAUAUUGACUAUUUUUCUAAAUUGAAGAGAUAUCCGAAUUUAAAAUUGGUCAACAAAUGGAGAAGCAGGCGGAAAGUCGUCCCAAAUUUCUCAUAGGGGAAAGAGUUCUUUGGUUAGGGAGUGGAAGCGGAUUACCCAAAAGCGGGCAGGUCAAAUGGAUCGGGAGGCUUUUGGAAAUUGGACCAAAUUUGGCUGUCGGUCUUGAACUGGAUGAACCAUUGCCUUAUGGAGGAAUUGAUGGGACAUGGGGUUCUCGACAACUUUUUAGAUGCGAAUCAAAGCAUGGUCUGAUUGUUCCUUCAUCCAGCGUAAUCCCUCAACCCCAACACAGAGCGCCUUUCUACACCGAGACCAAGUCCGAAACGAGAAAAAGCUCGCUGCAGGUGUCGACUUUAAAUAGAUCUAAGAUUGCAAGGACAUUAUUUGCGUCGGAGAGAUAUUUAAGCGAGGGUUCAUCACCAAUCGUUACACGGAAGACAAGGGAGUCGAGUAAGUUCACAAGAGGCUUUGAGACGUUACCAAGGCCUAGUGGUGGUGUAGGAGGCAGCAAACUGAAUCUGCACACCAAGGCAUUAGAGAAGGAUCGAGAUGGGAAGAUAUUUGGGAGAACGAUGAACAGGGAAUUUAGGAGGUCGGACGAUCAUCUUGAAAGGACAAGUUCGAUAAAUUCAUCUAAGAGUGCCAGUUCACGGAGAGAUAGGUCAAGCGGGAUUUUUUCCAUUUUCAAGUGGUUCAAGAAAGACAAAUCCCUCGAUUCCGACGACUUCGACUCACCUCCUCUUCCGGGUUCGCCGAUCCUCGCGAGAAAAAACGGUUCGAUUUGCGGAAGUAUUGAUACGCUUUUUAGCACGGCGACAGUUACCAGUUUUGCCUUCGUACCGCCUUCUUAUUACAAGCCUUUCGGAGCCGCUAACCAACCGGAAAUCAGAAUCGCCCUCGGGCCGGAUACGAACACGUACAAGAAUAGAAUAAAGGAAAGAGAUGAGUUAAGGCGCUUCGAUAAUAAAAUAUCUCUCAGGGAGAAAUACAAACUCUAUGCAAGUGGUACUCUGCCUAGGAGUGUGGAUAGGAUAAACGAGAUUAGGGACGGACCCCCUUCAGAUUCGGAAAGCAAAAGCUCUUCUAUUAGGAAGAAAAAACGGAAAGCGCCGCCCCCGCCUUUGACCCAAAGCGAAAACAGUCUUCCUGACGCCCAAAACAAAGAGAACAACCCUUUGAGACAUCAUAGGAGAGCACUAAGCGAGCCCGAGGCGGCCAAAUACAUCAAAGCUUGUCAUGUGAAAGGGAAAAGGAAAGCACCACCGCCUCCCGCAGGUAGAGAGGAAAGGACUUUGAGCUUGACUAGGAAAAAACGUCCUGCACCGCCGCCUCCGAACGUGAAUCCUAAAAAAGAAAAAGAAGAUAUUUCAAAAAUCAUACAGAAAACGCCUUUCGAUAUAAACAAUUCUAAUCAGGAACAGGAAGACAGUGCUAGUAACACUAACAAGACCGAAACCUGCGAAGUGAUAUCCACCGACACGUUGAGAUUGGAAAGAGGCGUCCUGAAACAGAACAAAGUAGACAGACCGAUGUCGGAACCGAAAUUUAGUCCUUCCUCUCCGGUCUCCCCGAGGCCUUGGUACAAAAGAAACACUCCUCACAAACAGGAGUCGGUCAUAUGGAGGCUGGACAAGAAAAAGCCUGCAAAGAAAGAUGCCCACGAUAGUAAAUUCCUAGAAAGCGGUUUCCCCAGAAAAUUUACUUCUGGAGAGAACAAGUUCAUCAAUAUAUUCAGUAAAAUCGAUAAGCCGGAAGAGAAAAGAAAAUCCCAGAUUUCAAUACUUACAAAUAUCAGUGAACUAGACAGAGAAGCUGCAGAAAUAGUUAAAAACAACAAAGCCAGGGAACAAACCUUCCUAGCCGAACUCAAUAAAACUUUUUACCCAGAUAGAAGCGAGAUCGAGAGAGUAAGUUUAAACGAGAAUCUGACACAUCCUACAAAUAAGACACCUAUUCAUCGGGUAGUUCUGGAUGAAGCGGAAGUUAGAAUCGUGGACACGGCUAGUUCUAUUCCGGAACCCGAAAAUAAAAUAGCUAAAGUAACUAUCGAGGAAUUGGACGAAUACGACGCGGAAAGGAAUUCAAAAGCGCAAACGAUGUACGAAGUAAACAGGAUGUACCGUCAUCAAUCUCCUCCCAUAUCCAUGAUCCCCGAAGUGUCCGAGAGUUCCGCUAAGUCAUCCAGUCCUUCGUCUUCUAUCGCAAGCAGCAGCACUUACGAAUCCACGACGUCGAAGCCCGAGCUGAAAGUUUUCGGGGGGCAGCUCGUCUGGAUCUGCCCUCGCUGCACUUUAGAAAAUUGCAGGUGGAAAAUAACGUGCGGGGCAUGCGACCUGUGGAGGCCGAGUCCCUGUGAUUUCAAAGAAAAGUCGAAACCUUCGGAGUCGCAGCCUCCCGUUAUGAACCCCAAAGAGAAUAAAAAAAGUUCAGGUUUGAAAGGUCCAUCUACUUCGAGAGACUUAAGCAACGAAAUCAUCGAUCAAACUACCAAAUUAGUCGAGAAUAUUUCAAAAGGAAUAAAUAUUGCAAUGAUGAUGGAUAAAAAAAGGGACGAGAAGACGAACGUCGUUCUGGAUCCUGAUGGGGCAACCAGUACAAACCAAAUCGACAAACAAGCAGAAGAGGUUCGCCUCGCAAGGUUGGCCUUUUUCGAUAAAUAUUCCACACCUAACAACCUCCAAACCAGGAUACCGAUAUUGGAGGAAACCAACAAAUUUUCCGAAUCGAGCGACAAUAAAAGAAAUAUUACUGUUAAUAUAAACGUUGAAAAAGAACCAAGGAAACAUGACGUCGCACAAAACAUUGAGGAAUGUAGACAGAUUUUAAACAGUAUAAGCGAGAACCAGGGUAAAAAGGACAUUAUAAGGCCAAGUUCACCAAACCUAAGAAGUGUCCCGAAAAUUUCUAACAAAACGUUAAACGAACCGUCAACUUCCAAUAUAAAAAAUGAAGUUCUUGUAAAAUCAGACGCAACCUUAAAAAUGAGUUUAGUUGAAGGGGAUAAAAACAAAAACACAAGUGACAUUACCGCAAUUCAGAGUGCGUCGAAAGAUUUAACGGCCAAUGUUCGAGCUUUGUCAAAUUUUGCAAACUUUAAAAACAUUAAUACGACGAAAAUUACAAACAAUUCUGCUGGUGAACGGAGAGAAGUAUUUCCGGAAACAUCUAAGUUAGGCGUUACUCCUGGAGCAGUUGAGGCAACAGUGAAAUCUGAAGAUAACAAAGUUACUAAUGAUUUCAAUGCCGUUCCCAGUUGUUCAAAAGACAACUUAAUGAACUGUGAAGAGUAUUCGAAAAUUACAAGUUGCAUAAACUCCGUCCCGGGAACAUCAAGAAACAAUUUAACGUUGUUUGAAGAAAACGUCAAAAGUAAAAAUGAAAAUAUUUCUGUCGCUACGACGGAGAACAGGUUUGUUGAUGAACCUACUAAAAAUACAAAUCGUAAUAACGAAUCUCGCAGUUUGAAUGCGGUCGAUGUUCCAAGCUCUUCGAAAGAAAAUCCUUCCUCGACAAAAACGACAAACAUUAAAGUUACUCAGACGCCUGAGACACCAAGAAUAGUGUCCAAAGACAUUGAAGAGAGCAGGAGGAUGCUGAAGGAAAUGUUAAAGGAGAUGAAGCACUCGCUUCCAAAAAGACCGGAGAUUAAGAAAGAAUCGUCGAAGAAGGAAGAAAAACAUUUACACCGUGACAACAGUGACGUUGCAGAAGCAUACUUAAUAGAGAGUGAAACAAUAGUAGAAGAAAUAAAAUUGAAAAAGCCGUCAGAAAAAGUGUCUUCGUCUGCCCAGACUAGUGCCAUGGUCCGACAGAUCGUGCCAAAAGUCAAACCUUCAUCGGGCUCUCAAAUAAUCGUACCAAUGACAAUAGAAGAGUACCAAAUCAAAGAUGGCGUUUUGUAUACCUCCGUGACCAAAAAACAGGCGAAGAAAAUUGGUACAGGAACGUUCGAAUUAUUACGACCGAGGGAUUUCGCCAAUAUAGAGGCGGUCAAGGCUCACAACGCCAUGCCACCACUUUAUGUCAAUGUCGACGAUGACCCGGGCGGUCAAGAACAGGCUGAAAACAAAAAUCAAGAAGUCGAAAAAUUAUCAGAGCAGCUAACUAGGCCACAAGGACUCGCAAAUUUCAGAGCUGGACUCGGAAAUGAAGCGAGCAACAUGAACACGAUGGCAGUUAACAGGCUGUUAAAAAGACUGGAAGGAGCCAUAGCGAAUGGCCAACUGGAACUUGCUGCCAUUCUCGCCAAAGAACUGGCCCAAAUGAAAGUCAGUUGCUCCGUUACAAGACAGAAACCAGAGCUGCCCGUUAAACUCAUACCGGUUGAAUUAUAUAUAGAGGAUAAACACAACCAUAGAGGUCCUUUUCCAUUAAAAAUAUCUCCCAAGAUGACAUUAGCUGAGCUGAAGAAGCAGGUCGAAGUCGAGUACGAUCUGCCGAGCAACGUGCAGCGAUGGAUUUUAGGGAAAAAUCUCGCCAGCGACAAUUCUGCGACUCUCGAAUCUAUGGGUGUCGACAAGCCACAAGUACCGCUAUUUUUGUAUCUCGUAGUCCCAGAUGCGAACGUGCAGACGACGAACGAUGCUAGCGGCGUAGAGGGUAGUGCUGAAAUUUCGUACGCAGAAGAUCGUGAGAAGAAAUCUGAGGGAGGCAAAAUCGAAUUACAAGCAACGACCAGCAAAGAGCCUCUUUUAGAAAAGGUGAUCCCUAUACAGAAUCUUGCAGAACAGAUUCUGGAAGAGGAAACUGAGGAAGAGAUUAUAGAAGAAGUCGAAGAUCCUGAUGUCGAAAUCGAAGAACCGGACACUCCUGUCGUUCAGGAUGAAACCAAAGAAUUUCCCUUCGGAACUCUGGCUCUGGGGUGGAAAUGCAGACAGUGUACUCUAAUAAACAGGCCUACAAGGGUUAAGUGCGCAGCUUGUAACACAGAGAAACCGACCGAGUACAAGGUUCCCGUCGAGUAUAAAGUUACCGAAGAAGAAAAACGAGAAAAUUACCAAAAGUUAAUGGACCUCGAGAAAGACGAUCUCAUAAUCAGUAUGGAAGAAUUUGAAUGUCCCAUUUGUUUGGUGCGCUACGAACCGAACGACGGUGUCAUCCUCAGGGAGUGCCUUCACGUUUUCUGCCGCUGGUUACACCCCGAGUAUAUGAAGGGCACUUGGCCAAGUCCAUAGCGUUGGCGGAAACCAAGAUCGGUAACACAUUCCACUGCAAGACUCCAGAUUGCAAGGGUUGGUGCAUCUACGAGGAUAACGUCAACGUGUUCAAGUGUCCCGUGUGCACUCACAUCAACUGCGUCACAUGCCAGGCCGUGCACGAAGGCCUCGACUGCAAGCAGUACCAGGAACAAGUCAACCUCGAUUCCGAGACCAAC